RNAcentral lists this long non-coding RNA (872 nucleotides) under Neodiprion lecontei (redheaded pine sawfly). Its description in RNAcentral is "uncharacterized LOC124294121". Lineage: Eukaryota; Metazoa; Arthropoda; Insecta; Hymenoptera; Diprionidae. The record is from RNAcentral.
GCCCCACAUUUGGUCUAAGGUGUUCCGCUGCAGCUCGACUUGGUAUAAAAUCUUGGCGCACACUUCAACGAUCUCGUGCGUGUGGAGCUGCAGAGAAAGGAUAAUUUUCACCAAUUCACUGAACCAUGGUAGGCUCAUCGGCCGGAAAUAUUUACCCCGCUUUUCGGACAGCACCGGUGCAAUUAAACGACGCUGCAGCUGUGCCCGUCUGCUUGCCUCGGUAUGGUGAAUUUAUCACACUCUCACCAUCGUCAUCGUCGCUCACUGCUGUCGUCAGUGACAUCCGGUCGUCGUCGGACAUCUGAAAUGAAAAACAUAUCAUCACUACGGAAAAUAGGGGAGUUUUUGAGAGAAGAGUGUGCUACCCUCGUCGGAUUUUUCCUACUUUGUGGAAGAAGUCGCUUUCAACACUGGACGCUCAACUUCCUUCCAUUAAUCACCCCGCCUCACGAUCGACACGACAUUCCGUGACAAGCUUCUGAACUCGAUCACGCGAGAUAGGGAGAAAGGCAACCCACUCAGACAGCUAACUUCAGCGAAGCUUGCGCUAAUCAGAGGGACGUUGCUCUUCGUCCCUUUGAUCUGGAGUCCGCCGUCGUGUGGGGAUGGUAGUGGCAGUAGCAGCCCUCCUUCAGCAGCUUCAUGUUCCUUUUGGCCGUACCGUUUAUCUUGAACAUGAUUUCCUCCUUGGCGAAUUUCAGCCCGUCGAUGUACCUGUGUGCCCACGUGUUUAACGCCCCGUUUAUGAUCUUAAGAAGCUUGUAAUAAUACCCCUCGCCGAGACCGGGGUUAAUCUUCUCUUCGACGCUCUUGCAGUUGAACCAAUACAACUUUUUCGUCUCAUUUAUGCAGAUCACGCUCACCGUGUGACG